This 29-nucleotide non-coding RNA is filed under the name Rattus norvegicus (Norway rat). Lineage: Eukaryota; Metazoa; Chordata; Mammalia; Rodentia; Muridae. The record is from RNAcentral.
UCAUAACUGUCACAAAGGUCAUCUUCAGA